Molecule: ribosomal RNA, 253 nt
Filed under: uncultured bacterium
Lineage: Bacteria
Description: partial 16S ribosomal RNA
Rfam family: Bacterial small subunit ribosomal RNA
Source: RNAcentral
UACGUAGGGUGCAAGCGUUGUCCGGAAUUAUUGGGCGUAAAGAGCUCGUAGGCGGUUCGUCGCGUCGGCUGUGAAAACCUGAGGCUCAACCUCAGGCCUGCAGUCGAUACGGGCGGACUUGAGUACUGCAGGGGAGACUGGAAUUCCUGGUGUAGCGGUGAAAUGCGCAGAUAUCAGGAGGAACACCGGUGGCGAAGGCGGCAUCCUGGACCGGCAUUGACGCUGAUGAGCGAAAGCUAGGGGAGCAAACGGG